CAGUCGCCGCGGGAAUACGAAGGGGGCUAGCGUUGUUCGGAAUUACUGGGCGUAAAGCGCACGUAGGCGGAUACUUAAGUUAGGGGUGAAAUCCCAGGGCUCAACCCUGGAACUGCCUUUAAUACUGGGUAUCUUGAGUUCGAGAGAGGUAAGUGGAAUUCCGAGUGUAGAGGUGAAAUUCGUAGAUAUUCGGAAGAACACCAGUGGCGAAGGCGGCUUACUGGCUCAUUCUAGACGCUGAGGUGCGAAAGCGUGGGGAGCAAACAGGAUUAGAUACCCGGGUAGUCCCUGUCUCUUAUAC
RNAcentral lists this ribosomal RNA (301 nucleotides) under uncultured bacterium. RNAcentral's name for it is "partial 16S ribosomal RNA". It matches the Rfam family "Bacterial small subunit ribosomal RNA", at positions 509 to 807 of the family's 1533-position model. The record is from RNAcentral.